Molecule: non-coding RNA, 136 nt
Organism: Hordeum vulgare subsp. vulgare (domesticated barley)
Lineage: Eukaryota; Viridiplantae; Streptophyta; Magnoliopsida; Poales; Poaceae
Source: Rfam
CACAUACUCCCUGCGUCCCAAAAUUCUUGUCCUAAACUUAUCAAGAUAUAAAUGUAUUUAGUCACGUUCUAGUAUCUAGAUACAUUCAUUUCUAAAAAAACAUAAGACAAGAAUUUUGGGACGGAGCGAGUAUAAU